RNAcentral lists this ribosomal RNA (372 nucleotides) under uncultured organism. Its description in RNAcentral is "partial 16S ribosomal RNA". It matches the Rfam family "Bacterial small subunit ribosomal RNA", at positions 527 to 896 of the family's 1533-position model. The record is from RNAcentral.
GUAGGUGGCAAGCGUUGUCCGGAAUUAUUGGGCGUAAAGCGCGCGCAGGCGGUUCUUUAAGUCUGAUGUGAAAGCCCACGGCUCAACCGUGGAGGGUCAUUGAAAACUGGAGAACUUGAGUACAGAAGAGGAAAGCGGAAUUCCACGUGUAGCGGUGAAAUGCGUAGAGAUGUGGAGGAACACCAGUGGCGAAGGCGGCUUUCUGGUCUGUAACUGACGCUGAGGCGCGAAAGCGUGGGGAGCAAACAGGAUUAGAUACCCUGGUAGUCCACGCCGUAAACGAUGAGUGCUAAGUGUUAGGGGGUUUCCGCCCCCCUUAGUGCUGCAGCUAACGCAUUAAGCACUCCGCCUGGGAGUACGGCCGCAAGGCUG